Molecule: non-coding RNA, 354 nt
Organism: Clostridium sp. CAG:7
Lineage: Bacteria; Bacillati; Bacillota; Clostridia; Eubacteriales; Clostridiaceae
Rfam family: Bacterial RNase P class A
About the family: Ribonuclease P (RNase P) is a ubiquitous endoribonuclease, found in archaea, bacteria and eukarya as well as chloroplasts and mitochondria. Its best characterised activity is the generation of mature 5'-ends of tRNAs by cleaving the 5'-leader elements of precursor-tRNAs.
Source: Rfam
UGAGUAAGACAGAUGGUCGCUGCUGCGACACCGAGAGGACGCAGGAGAGGAAAGUCCGGGCUUCACAGGGCAGGAUGCCAGAUAACGUCUGGCGGGGGUGACCCUAGGGACAGUGCAACAGAAAUAUACCGCCCGCUGCAUUUGCAGCAGGUAAGGGUGGAAUGGCAGUGUAAGAGACUACCGCCCGGCUGGUAACAGGCGGGGCACAUGUAAACCCCAUCCGAAGCAAGACCAAACAGAGAGCAUAUGGCGGCCCGUCAGCUUUCGGGUAGGUUGCUUGAUGCUGCUGGCGACAGUAGUACUAGAUAGAUGACCAUCCAACGACAUAACCCGGCUUACCGUUUUACUCACAAC